AGAGUUUGAUCAUGGCUCAGAGCGAACGCUGGCGGCGUGCUUAACACAUGCAAGUCGAGUGCGCGUCUGUAGCAAUACAGAUGGCGCACGGCGCACGGGUGCGUAACACGUGGGUAAUCUGCCCUUCGAUGGGGAAUAACCUCGCGAAAGCGAGGCUAAUUCCGCAUAACAUUCCGAUGAUCUUGGUCAAUGGAUUCAAAGCCGUAAGGCGUCGGAGGAGGAGCCCGCGCACGAUUAGCUAGUUGGUGAGGUAACGGCUCACCAAGGCUAUGAUCGUUAGCUGGUCUGAGAGGAUGGCCAGCCACACUGGAACUGAGACACGGUCCAGACUCCUACGGGAGGCAGCAGUGGGGAAUCUUGCACAAUGGGCGAAAGCCUGAUGCAGCGACGCCGCGUGGGGGAUGAAGCUUCUCGGAGUGUAAACCCCUUUCGACCCGGACGAAUGCCUCGCAAGAGGACUGACGGUACGGGUAUAAGAAGCCCCGGCUAACUACGUGCCAGCAGCCGCGAUAAGACGUAGGGGGCCAGCGUUGCUCGGAAUUACUGGGUGUAAAGGGUUCGUAGGCGGUGUGGCAAGUCGGGAGUGAAAUCUCUGGGCUCAACCCAGAGGCUGCUUCCGAAACUGCCGUGCUUGAGUGUGGGAGAGGCGCGUGGAAUUGCAGGUGUAGCGGUGAAAUGCGUAGAUAUCUGCAGGAACACCCGUGGCGAAAGCGGCGCGCUGGACCACAACUGACGCUGAGGAACGAAAGCUAGGGGAGCAAACAGGAUUAGAUACCCUAGUAGUCC
RNAcentral lists this ribosomal RNA (786 nucleotides) under uncultured bacterium. RNAcentral's name for it is "bacterial SSU rRNA". It matches the Rfam family "Bacterial small subunit ribosomal RNA", at positions 8 to 796 of the family's 1533-position model. The record is from RNAcentral.